This 29-nucleotide small RNA is filed under the name Bombyx mori (domestic silkworm). RNAcentral's name for it is "ovarian small RNA-17531". Lineage: Eukaryota; Metazoa; Arthropoda; Insecta; Lepidoptera; Bombycidae. The record is from RNAcentral.
GGGGCUAUGAAUCGCCACUCCAGCUGUCA